Molecule: ribosomal RNA, 497 nt
Filed under: uncultured bacterium
Lineage: Bacteria
Description: partial 16S ribosomal RNA
Rfam family: Bacterial small subunit ribosomal RNA
Source: RNAcentral
GAUGAACGCUGGCGGCGUGCCUAAUACAUGCAAGUCGAGCGAACAGACGAGGAGCUUGCUCCUCUGACGUUAGCGGCGGACGGGUGAGUAACACGUGGAUAACCUACCUAUAAGACUGGGAUAACUUCGGGAAGCCGGAGCUAAUACCGGAUAAUAUAUUGAACCGCAUGGUUCAAUAGUGAAAGACGGUUUUGCUGUCACUUAUAGAUGGAUCCGCGCCGCAUUAGCUAGUUGGUAAGGUAACGGCUUACCAAGGCAACGAUGCGUAGCCGACCUGAGAGGGUGAUCGGCCACACUGGAACUGAGACGCGGUCCAGACUCCUACGGGAGGCAGCAGUAGGGAAUCUUCCGCAAUGGGCGAAAGCCUGACGGAGCAACGCCGCGUGAGUGAUGAAGGUCUUCGGAUCGUAAAACUCUGUUAUUAGGGAAGAACAAAUGUGUAAGUAACUAUGCACGUCUUGACGGUACCUAAUCAGAAAGCCACGGCUAACUACGUG